RNAcentral lists this ribosomal RNA (292 nucleotides) under uncultured bacterium. RNAcentral describes it as "partial 16S ribosomal RNA". It matches the Rfam family "Bacterial small subunit ribosomal RNA", at positions 333 to 642 of the family's 1533-position model. The record is from RNAcentral.
AUGUCCCUACGGGAGGCAGCAGUGGGGAAUAUUGCACAAUGGGGGGAACCCUGAUGCAGCGACGCCGCGUGAGUGAAGAAGUAUUUCGGUAUGUAAAGCUUUAUCAGCAGGGAAGAAAAUGACGGUACCUGAGUAAGAAGCCCCGGCUAACUACGUGCCAGCAGCCGCGGUAAUACGUAGGGGGCAAGCGUUAUCCGGCUUUACUGGGUGUAAAGGUAGCGUAGACGGCGAUGCAAGUCUGAAGUGAAAGCCGGGGGCUCACCCCCGGUACUGCUUUGGAACCUGCAUGGCU